RNAcentral lists this transfer RNA (64 nucleotides) under Hippopus hippopus. Its description in RNAcentral is "tRNA-Lys". It matches the Rfam family "tRNA". Rfam says of the family: Transfer RNA (tRNA) molecules are approximately 80 nucleotides in length. Their secondary structure includes four short double-helical elements and three loops (D, anti-codon, and T loops). Lineage: Eukaryota; Metazoa; Mollusca; Bivalvia; Cardiida; Cardiidae. The record is from RNAcentral.
GGUUCGGUAGCUUAUAUUAAAGCGCGGGGCUUUUAACCCCGCGAAGUUUAUAGAACCCGCGCCU